Acanthosepion pharaonis is the source of this 114-nucleotide non-coding RNA. The record is from the annotation of a GenBank genome assembly. Lineage: Eukaryota; Metazoa; Mollusca; Cephalopoda; Sepiida; Sepiidae.
UUACGGCCUUAUCACAUUGAAACCCCGGUCCCCGUACGAUCACCGAAGUCAAGCAACGUCACACCUGGUCAGUACCUAGAUGAGUAACUCUUUGGGAAUACAAGGUGCUGUAAG